AUGAACGCUGGCGGCGUGCCUAAUACAUGCAAGUCGAGCGAACAGAUAAGGAGCUUGCUCCUUUGACGUUAGCGGCGGACGGGUGAGUAACACGUGGGUAACCUACCUAUAAGACUGGGAUAACUUCGGGAAACCGGAGCUAAUACCGGAUAAUAUUUCGAACCGCAUGGUUCGAUAGUGAAAGAUGGUUUUGCUAUCACUUAUAGAUGGACCCGCGCCGUAUUAGCUAGUUGGUAAGGUAACGGCUUACCAAGGCGACGAUACGUAGCCGACCUGAGAGGUGGGUCGCCCAACCUGGAACGGAGCCCCGGUCCAGACUCUGCGGGGGGGCACAAGUAGGGAUCCUUCCGCAAUGGGCGAAGGCCGAACGGAGCAACGCGGGGUGAGUGAGGAGGGUUUUGGUAUCUUAAAACUUUUUUAUGGGGAAAAAAAAUACGUGAAAGUAACUGUGCACGUCUGCACGUUACCUAAUCAAAAACCCCCGCCCACCUACGUG
Molecule: ribosomal RNA, 496 nt
Filed under: uncultured bacterium
Lineage: Bacteria
Description: partial 16S ribosomal RNA
Rfam family: Bacterial small subunit ribosomal RNA
Source: RNAcentral